GAGAUCAUUUCAUCUUCCCCUCGCUUAAAUGUUUACAUUAACAGAAUUUUUUUACCAGGGGUGCCCAAACUUGUGCAUGUCCCUGUACUGAUAUAUACUAUACAAAUAAUAUUUUCAGUAGUCCGUGUCAAAUUUUAUUUCAAGGUAAGAUAGCUUUACAUGUUUUUCAUUGUGCUUUAGUGAUCACACAGGCCCUGUUUAUGUUCUUAACCGGCAUGAGUUUAUUUAUUGUGAUAUACACAAAACAAGAUAUUUUCAUUAAUGAUGUUAAGUACACAGCUGCUCAUUUACUUCAAUAAAAUCUCUUUUUCCUAUUAUGGAAGUCAAUGGGUACCAUCAACUGUAGGAUUGACAUCAUUUAUCUUAUUAAAGAAUUUUUGGCAAGUUUAUAACAACAUGAAGUGUUUGGGUGAGAUCUAGACCGAGGACUAAGGCGUAUACUAGGACAGAACUAAGUGUUGUGGCCCACAGAUGAACCUCCAGGGCCGAAACAAUUGCCACUAGGAAAACUGCUAAUGCUGGAUGUCAACAGACCAUUUUUGAGUCUUUGUGAGGGAGUUAACACUGAACCAGACAAAUCUGACUGAUGAGAUACAAGACACAAUAAUGUUUUAAAGGAACUUAUAAAACCAUUUCACACGGGUUAAAGAUCCUAAGUUACAUUAAAUGCUCUGAAUCAAGAACAUAUUUGGAGAAUCUGAAGAUGAACUGAAUCUCACUCCAGCUGUGGGCUUCACAAUAAAUCCAUCACCACACAAACUGUGUGAAGUUUAAAGUUUUGAUAUCUGUGGUGGCACUGAAAAUGAAAACUGUCAUUGUCUUUAAAGAUAUCUGAAGCUAAAUAAUGUAAAUGUCAGACCGCACAUAGGGCUCUAUUUUAACGAUCUGAAACGCAAGUGCGAAGCGCAACGCGCAAGUGAGUUUGUGGGCGGAUCUUGGGCGCUGUUGCUAUUUUCCCGGCGUGAGAAAUAACUCUUGCGCCGGGCGCAAAUCAAUAAGGGGUUGGUCUGAAGUAGGUUCAUUAUUCAUAGGUGUGGUUUGGGCGUAACGUCAAAUAAACCAAUCAGAACGCUAUCCAACAUUCCCUUUAAACGCAAGGGCACAAGUUC
This is a non-coding RNA of Paramisgurnus dabryanus, 1109 nucleotides long. NCBI's taxonomy places the organism in Eukaryota, Metazoa, Chordata, Actinopteri, Cypriniformes, Cobitidae. The record is from RefSeq and is a predicted model, not a curated record.